GAUUCCUGACGAGAUUUCCCGACUUCUUGAGCAAGAAAAGAAGAUCACUCAGCUGCAUCUCGAGAAUCAGCAGAACAGCCAACUGGGGCAUUACAAAAAAGAAAAAAAACAAAAAAAAGAAAGAAAGAGAGGAGGGUGCAAAAUCAAAAGAAAUCAAAAGAAAUCCAAAUCAAAAGAAAUCAAAAGAAAUCCAAAUCAAAAGAAAGAAAAAG
This 212-nucleotide long non-coding RNA is filed under the name Lathyrus oleraceus (garden pea). RNAcentral describes it as "Pisum sativum (pea) long non-coding RNA (PSAT_LNC033487)". Lineage: Eukaryota; Viridiplantae; Streptophyta; Magnoliopsida; Fabales; Fabaceae. The record is from RNAcentral.